ACUCACCUCGAGGGUCUGCGGCUUCAUUCUUGAAGUCAGUGAGACCAAGAACCCACCAAUUCCGGACACAAUGUUACUCCAGAUAAUCAGCGCCAUUUUCUGAAGCUUGAGAUGCAGGAAAAGAGGAGUGCUAUCCAUUAGAUGGAGACAGGAAGUAGAAAAAGAGCUUAAAGUUUUGGCUUGUGUUACUUCCUUGGGGAGAUCUUGCUGGACCACAUCAGGAAUAGGAGGGGUGUGUCCCCACAGCACUGUGUACACGGAAAUGCAGAUGAUAACUCCUGCCUCCAGACCCCUCUCUGAGAUGAUUCUGAGACACAUAUAAAUGGGCUUUGCAAACUGUGGGCAGUAGAUGUGAGAACUCUUCAUCUUCCAGACAGGAUCCAAGGUCCUUUGGAAGGGACAGUGAGCGGACUGCAUCCUGCUUGCAUGAAGACCCUGAUUCCCUCAAAUGUUGAAAGAGGUUGAAUUUACAAAUAAAU
This 479-nucleotide long non-coding RNA is filed under the name Homo sapiens (human). Its description in RNAcentral is "HSALNT0361556". Lineage: Eukaryota; Metazoa; Chordata; Mammalia; Primates; Hominidae. The record is from RNAcentral.